UGGGGAAUAUUGCACAAUGGGGGAAACCCUGAUGCAGCGACGCCGCGUGAGCGAAGAAGGCUUUCGAGUCGUAAAGCUCUGUCCUAUGAGAAGAUAAUGACGGUAUCAUAGGAGGAAGCCCUGGCUAAAUACGUGCCAGCAGCCGCGGUAAUACGUAUGGGGCGAGCGUUGUCCGGAAUUAUUGGGCGUAAAGGGUACGUAGGCGGUUUUUUAAGUCAGGUGUCAAAGCGUGGAGCUUAACUCCAUUAAGCACUUGAAACUGAAAGACUUGAGUGAAGGAGAGGAAAGUGGAAUUCCUAGUGUAGCGGUGAAAUGCGUAGAUAUAUGGAGGAACACCGGUGGCGAAAGCGGCUCUCUGGUCUGUAACUGACGCUGAGGCUCGAAAGCGUGGGGAGCGAACAGG
RNAcentral lists this ribosomal RNA (403 nucleotides) under Verrucomicrobiota bacterium. Its description in RNAcentral is "Verrucomicrobia bacterium partial 16S ribosomal RNA". It matches the Rfam family "Bacterial small subunit ribosomal RNA", at positions 355 to 776 of the family's 1533-position model. Lineage: Bacteria; Pseudomonadati; Verrucomicrobiota. The record is from RNAcentral.